This 965-nucleotide ribosomal RNA is filed under the name Escherichia coli. Its description in RNAcentral is "partial 23S ribosomal RNA". It matches the Rfam family "Bacterial large subunit ribosomal RNA", at positions 474 to 1438 of the family's 2925-position model. Lineage: Bacteria; Pseudomonadati; Pseudomonadota; Gammaproteobacteria; Enterobacterales; Enterobacteriaceae. RNAcentral also lists the same sequence under 1 other name. The record is from RNAcentral.
UCCUGACUGACCGAUAGUGAACCAGUACCGUGAGGGAAAGGCGAAAAGAACCCCGGCGAGGGGAGUGAAAAAGAACCUGAAACCGUGUACGUACAAGCAGUGGGAGCACGCUUAGGCGUGUGACUGCGUACCUUUUGUAUAAUGGGUCAGCGACUUAUAUUCUGUAGCAAGGUUAACCGAAUAGGGGAGCCGAAGGGAAACCGAGUCUUAACUGGGCGUUAAGUUGCAGGGUAUAGACCCGAAACCCGGUGAUCUAGCCAUGGGCAGGUUGAAGGUUGGGUAACACUAACUGGAGGACCGAACCGACUAAUGUUGAAAAAUUAGCGGAUGACUUGUGGCUGGGGGUGAAAGGCCAAUCAAACCGGGAGAUAGCUGGUUCUCCCCGAAAGCUAUUUAGGUAGCGCCUCGUGAAUUCAUCUCCGGGGGUAGAGCACUGUUUCGGCAAGGGGGUCAUCCCGACUUACCAACCCGAUGCAAACUGCGAAUACCGGAGAAUGUUAUCACGGGAGACACACGGCGGGUGCUAACGUCCGUCGUGAAGAGGGAAACAACCCAGACCGCCAGCUAAGGUCCCAAAGUCAUGGUUAAGUGGGAAACGAUGUGGGAAGGCCCAGACAGCCAGGAUGUUGGCUUAGAAGCAGCCAUCAUUUAAAGAAAGCGUAAUAGCUCACUGGUCGAGUCGGCCUGCGCGGAAGAUGUAACGGGGCUAAACCAUGCACCGAAGCUGCGGCAGCGACGCUUAUGCGUUGUUGGGUAGGGGAGCGUUCUGUAAGCCUGCGAAGGUGUGCUGUGAGGCAUGCUGGAGGUAUCAGAAGUGCGAAUGCUGACAUAAGUAACGAUAAAGCGGGUGAAAAGCCCGCUCGCCGGAAGACCAAGGGUUCCUGUCCAACGUUAAUCGGGGCAGGGUGAGUCGACCCCUAAGGCGAGGCCGAAAGGCGUAGUCGAUGGGAAACAGGUUAAUAUUC